RNAcentral lists this transfer RNA (77 nucleotides) under Betaproteobacteria bacterium. Its description in RNAcentral is "tRNA-Ile". It matches the Rfam family "tRNA". Rfam says of the family: Transfer RNA (tRNA) molecules are approximately 80 nucleotides in length. Their secondary structure includes four short double-helical elements and three loops (D, anti-codon, and T loops). The record is from RNAcentral. RNAcentral also lists the same sequence under 2 other names. Lineage: Bacteria; Pseudomonadati; Pseudomonadota; Betaproteobacteria.
GGGCUUGUAGCUCAGCUGGCUAGAGCACACGACUGAUAAUCGUGAGGUCGAUGGUUCGAGUCCAUCCAGGCCCACCA